RNAcentral lists this ribosomal RNA (229 nucleotides) under uncultured bacterium. RNAcentral describes it as "partial 16S ribosomal RNA". It matches the Rfam family "Bacterial small subunit ribosomal RNA", at positions 568 to 796 of the family's 1533-position model. The record is from RNAcentral.
UGCGUAGGCGGACUAAUAAGUCAGUGGUGAAAUCUCUCGGCUCAACCGGGAAACUGCCAUUGAUACUGUUAGUCUUGAGUUCGGUUGAGGUAGGCGGAAUGUGUAAUGUAGCGGUGAAAUGCUUAGAUAUUACACAGAACACCAAUUGCGUAGGCAGCUUACUAGACUGACACUGACGCUGAGGCACGAAAGCGUGGGUAGCGAACAGGAUUAGAUACCCUGGUAGUCC